This 427-nucleotide ribosomal RNA is filed under the name uncultured bacterium. RNAcentral's name for it is "bacterial SSU rRNA". It matches the Rfam family "Bacterial small subunit ribosomal RNA", at positions 355 to 774 of the family's 1533-position model. The record is from RNAcentral.
UGGGGAAUUUUGGACAAUGGACGCAAGUCUGAUCCAGCCAUGCCGCGUGCGGGAAGAGGGCCUUCGGGUUGUAAACCGCUUUUGUCAGGGAAGAAACGAGUUUCUCUAAUACAGAGACUUAAUGACGGUACCUGAAGAAUAAGCACCGGCUAACUACGUGCCAGCAGCCGCGGUAAUACGUAGGGUGCGAGCGUUAAUCGGAAUUACUGGGCGUAAAGCGUGCGCAGGCGGUUAUAUAAGACAGAUGUGAAAUCCCCGGGCUCAACCUGGGAACUGCAUUUGUGACUGUAUAGCUAGAGUGCGGCAGAGGGGGAUGGAAUUCCGCGUGUAGCAGUGAAAUGCGUAGAUAUGCGGAGGAACACCGAUGGCGAAGGCAAUCCCCUGGGCCUGUACUGACGCUCAUGCACGAAAGCGUGGGGAGCAAACA